This is a non-coding RNA of Anopheles gambiae str. PEST, 141 nucleotides long. It matches the Rfam family "drz-agam-2-2 ribozyme". NCBI's taxonomy places the organism in Eukaryota, Metazoa, Arthropoda, Insecta, Diptera, Culicidae. The record is from Rfam.
UAAAACCUCAGCUCUGUAAUGGGAUGGAAUCCGAAGCCCCAGUGAGGGAUAAUACAGGCUCUCCCAUCCAACUCCUAUUCCGACACGUCUUCGUCGUGCAGAGUGGUAACAUGUGUCACCACACUCUCUAAGCGAAGCCGG